CUUGUAUUCAAGAUGCAGAUGGAUGUUAUUAGAAAGGUUUUUACUUCGAAUGUGCGCAGCUUGUCCACAUGGCUGAGAUUAGUGCUCAAUACUCAUAUAAUGCUUUUCAGCCUCAAAAGGACUUUACAAGCUCCAGCCCUCAAAACACCCCCACAAGAAUACUUUGACGUUCCAUCUUAUCUCCCUCUUGUUUCCCUGAGAAAGGUAUCUGGCCCCAUAAAGCACUCUGGAGAAAAGGGAAAAAAUAGAUGGAAGACAAAUCGAUGGAGUCUGGUAUCGCUAAUUUAAGGAG
This is a long non-coding RNA of Geospiza fortis (medium ground-finch), 292 nucleotides long. The record is from Ensembl. NCBI's taxonomy places the organism in Eukaryota, Metazoa, Chordata, Aves, Passeriformes, Thraupidae.